AACGCUAGCUACAGGCUUAACACAUGCAAGUCGAGGGGCAGCGCAGUGUAGCAAUACAUGGGCGGCGACCGGCGCACGGGUGCGUAACGCGUAUCCAACCUUCCCGUUACUCAGGGAUAGCCUUCCGAAAGGGAGAUUAAUACCUGAUGGUGUUUGAAUUCCGCAUGUUAUUCAAACUAAAGAUUUAUCGGUAACGGAUGGGGAUGCGUGACAUUAGGUAGAUGGCGGGGUAACGGCCCACCAUGCCUACGAUGUCUAGGGGUUCUGAGAGGAAGGUCCCCCACACUGGAACUGAGACACGGUCCAGACUCCUACGGGAGGCAGCAGUGAGGAAUAUUGGUCAAUGGUCGGAAGACUGAACCAGCCAAGUAGCGUGAAGGAUGAAGGUUCUAUGGAUUGUAAACUUCUUUUAUACGGGAAUAAAACCUCCCACGUGUGGGAGCUUGUAUGUACCGUAUGAAUAAGCAUCGGCUAACUCCGUGCCAGCAGCCGCGGUAAUACGGAGGAUGCGAGCGUUAUCCGGAUUUAUUGGGUUUAAAGGGAGCGUAGACGGGAGAUUAAGUCAGUUGUGAAAGGCUGCGGCUCAACCGCAGCACUGCAGUUGAUACUGGUUUCCUUGAGUGCGGUUGAGGUGUAUGGAAUUCGUGGUGUAGCGGUGAAAUGCUUAGAUAUCACGA
Molecule: ribosomal RNA, 677 nt
Filed under: uncultured bacterium
Lineage: Bacteria
Description: bacterial SSU rRNA
Rfam family: Bacterial small subunit ribosomal RNA
Source: RNAcentral